GGCAGGACAAUGGUGUGAACCCAGGAGGCGGAGCUUACAGUGAGCCAAGAUCGAGCCACUGCCUCCAGCCUGGGCGACAGAGCGAGACACUGUCUCAAAAAAAAAAAAAAAGCCUGAUUAUAAACUGAUAAAUAUCUAGAACAUCCCAGGUGCAUGUUGUAGACUAGUGUUGGAGCCUGUGCUUUUGCUGUUGCACAUUACUUGUGAAGCAGGACAUGGCAAGCCUGGCUCUAUUGCUAGACCAGAAACUGAGUGGAGAAAUUCAAGCAUUAGCUGACAAGAAAUGAUCACAUUUGAGAUGUACUGUGCACUAUCUGAUACUGGGGACACAGAGGGUGAGGAGAUAUGCUUGUUCACAUACAUUAUCAGGAAAUACACAGCAGUUAUAGGAACCAUGUUUAUAAGAUGGAGCUGAUUUACAGUCAGACUGCAAAGCUCUAAAAUUAUCUCCACGAUGCCCAGAUGUCUGGCUCUGACUCUUGGUUGGGAUAAGGCCAGUGAGCUAUACAAGGUACUAGUUAAAGUCUGAUAUUCCCUGGGAGACUCCCAGAGCCAAUUUGUUUAUGAUGGCUUUUUAACUUUUUUAAACUUACAUAACCAGUUAGAUAGCCUGGCUUGACUAUGUAACCAGUGAACAGAGAAGCAUAAAUACCCAUGCAGUGGCUGGGCACGGUGGCUUAUACCUUUAUUUUUAUUAUAUAU
Molecule: long non-coding RNA, 702 nt
Filed under: Homo sapiens (human)
Lineage: Eukaryota; Metazoa; Chordata; Mammalia; Primates; Hominidae
Description: HSALNT0259242
Source: RNAcentral